AGCAGAAUUGAUACUAUUAUUUAUCAGUGUAAAACAAUGCGUAUUAUGUAUUUCAUUUUCUUAAUACAUAAAAAAGGCAUGAGAGCUUAAAAAGGGGAAACUAAAAAAAGGUAUCCCAGUGCACCGUGCACAAGCUCCCACUAUGCACGGAUUUUGGGAAAAGUCGAACCACAAGGAUCUAUUGAAAAUGCGUAUUAUGUAUUUCAUUUUCUUAAUACAUAAAAAAGGCAUGAGAGCUUAAAAAGGGGCAAUUAAAAAAAGGUAUCCCGGUGCACCGUGCACAAGCUCCCACUAUGCACGGGGUUCAGGGAAAGGCCGAACCACAAGGAUCUAUUGAAAAUGCGUAUUAUGUAUUUCAUUUUCUUAAUACAUAAAAAAGGCAUGAGAGCUUAAAAAGGGGCAAUUAAAAAAAGGUAUCCCGGUGCACCGUGCACAAGCUCCCACUAUGCACGGGGUUCAGGGAAAGGCCGAACCACAAGGAUCUAUUGAAAAUGCGUAUUAUGUAUUUCAUUUUCUUAAUACAUAAAAAAGGCAUGAGAGCUUAAAAAGGGGCAAUUAAAAAAAGGUAUCCCGGUGCACCGUGCACAAGCUCCCACUAUGCACGGGGUUCAGGGUAAGGCCGGACCACAAGGAUCUAUUGAAAAUGCAAUCAAUACAUAAAAAAUCAAUCUCCAACUUCUGACCAAGAGCUGGAGAUCAACUGGAGCUGGUAUAACUGAGAGGUUGAUGCUUCAGGACAGUAAACAGAAAACAAAUUUAUCA
Molecule: long non-coding RNA, 762 nt
Filed under: Solanum tuberosum (potato)
Lineage: Eukaryota; Viridiplantae; Streptophyta; Magnoliopsida; Solanales; Solanaceae
Description: long non-coding RNA (STUB_LNC005986)
Source: RNAcentral